AUUCAUUGAGGGUUGAGGAAAGGAAGUGGCUGUGAGGUUAAGUUCUCCCCAAUUGUUUUAUCCUUUCUUGAAGUGAUUAUGUAGAAUGGAUUGUCUCAGAAAAAGAGCCACAAAGAGUAGUUCCAAUGUUGCUUUAAUGUUCUCCCUAUGAUUACUACAGAAAGGAGGGCCUACAUAAAGUAUGGUGAAUAUAGAACUGUUCUCAAAGCCAGAAGAUCUGAUUGUCCUCAAACCCGGAAAGACCAAGGUUCAAACUCUACCUCCAACACAUACUGGUUGCAUGACUUUGGGUAAGUUACUUAACUUCUUGAUGCUCUAAGACUAUAAGUUGCAAAGAAAGUCAGGAGAUGCA
Molecule: long non-coding RNA, 352 nt
Filed under: Phascolarctos cinereus (koala)
Lineage: Eukaryota; Metazoa; Chordata; Mammalia; Diprotodontia; Phascolarctidae
Description: lncRNA (ENSPCIG00000024212.2)
Source: RNAcentral